This 253-nucleotide ribosomal RNA is filed under the name uncultured bacterium. RNAcentral's name for it is "partial 16S ribosomal RNA". It matches the Rfam family "Bacterial small subunit ribosomal RNA", at positions 524 to 776 of the family's 1533-position model. The record is from RNAcentral.
UACGUAGGGUGCAAGCGUUGUCCGGAAUUAUUGGGCGUAAAGAGCUCGUAGGCGGUUUGUUGCGUCGGCUGUGAAAUCCCGAGGCUCAACCUCGGGUCUGCAGUCGAUACGAGCAAACUAGAGUGUUGCAGGGGAGACUGGAAUUCCUGGUGUAGCGGUGAAAUGCGCAGAUAUCGAGAGGAACACCUGCGGCGAAGGCGGGUUGCUGGGCUGACACUGACGCUGAUGCGCGAAAGCCAGGGGAGCGAACGGG